Molecule: long non-coding RNA, 224 nt
Filed under: Panax ginseng (ginseng)
Lineage: Eukaryota; Viridiplantae; Streptophyta; Magnoliopsida; Apiales; Araliaceae
Description: long non-coding RNA (PGIN_LNC005060)
Source: RNAcentral
UGACGCCCCCAAAAUAGGUAUUCAUCACCCAUUCUGAGUUGUCAAAUACAUGGUACAGAAAUAACUACAACUUUAUUAUUACAACAUAAAAACUGUGAGUUUAAAAUACAAAUAUUGUCAUCUAGACAAUAUCAAUACCCAAAUAAAUCCUCAUCACAAUUAUUGAUACAUUAUUUUAUGAAAAUGGUGAGGACUACUAAACAACUCUCUCUAGAACCAUCAUU